GACGAACGCUGGCGGCGGGCUUAACACAUGCAAGUCGAACGGAAAGGCCCUGCUUUUGUGGGGUGCUCGAGUGGCGAACGGGUGAGUAACACGUGAGUAACCUGCCCUUGACUUUGGGAUAACUUCAGGAAACUGGGGCUAAUACCGGAUAGGAGCUCCUGCUGCAUGGUGGGGGUUGGAAAGUUUCGGCGGGUGGGGAUGGACUCGCGGCUUAUCAGCUUGUUGGUGGGGUAGUGGCUUACCAAGGCUUUGACGGGUAGCCGGCCUGAGAGGGUGACCGGCCACAUUGGGACUGAGAUACGGCCCAGACUCCUACGGGAGGCAGCAGUGGGGAAUAUUGCACAAUGGGCGGAAGCCUGAUGCAGCAACGCCGCGUGCGGGAUGACGGCCUUCGGGUUGUAAACCGCUUUCGCCUGUGACGAAGCGUGAGUGACGGUAAUGGGUAAAGAAGCACCGGCUAACUACGUG
This 468-nucleotide ribosomal RNA is filed under the name uncultured bacterium. RNAcentral describes it as "partial 16S ribosomal RNA". It matches the Rfam family "Bacterial small subunit ribosomal RNA", at positions 28 to 507 of the family's 1533-position model. The record is from RNAcentral.